GAAGGUCACGGCGAGACGAGCCGUUUAUCAUUACGAUAGGUGUCAAGUGGAAGUGCAGUGAUGUAUGCAGCUGAGGCAUCCUAACAGACCGGUAGACUUGAACCUUGUUCCUACAUGACCCGAUCAAUUCGAUCGGGCACUCGCCAUCUAUUUUCAUUGUUCAACUCUUUAACAACACGAAUAACCAUUGUUCAACUCUUUGACAACAUGAAAAACCAAAAGCUCUGCCCUCUCUAUCUAUCCAAGGGAUGGAAGGGCAG
RNAcentral lists this ribosomal RNA (260 nucleotides) under Cosmos bipinnatus. Its description in RNAcentral is "4.5S ribosomal RNA". RNAcentral also lists the same sequence under 1 other name. Lineage: Eukaryota; Viridiplantae; Streptophyta; Magnoliopsida; Asterales; Asteraceae. The record is from RNAcentral.